GACAGAGGUGCCGAGCGUUAGGCGGAAUCACUGGGCUUAAAGCGUGUGUAGGCGGAUCCGUAAGUACCUUGUGAAAUCCCCGGGCUUAACCUGGGAACUGCAUUGGUGACUGGCAGGCUUUGAGUGUGGCAGAGGGAGGUAGAAUUCCACGUGUAGCAGUGAAAUGCGUAGAGAUGUGGAGGAAUACCGAUGGCGAAGGCAGCCUCCUGGGCCAACACUGACGCUCAUGCACGAAAGCGUGGGGAGCAAACAGG
RNAcentral lists this ribosomal RNA (254 nucleotides) under uncultured bacterium. RNAcentral's name for it is "partial 16S ribosomal RNA". It matches the Rfam family "Bacterial small subunit ribosomal RNA", at positions 524 to 776 of the family's 1533-position model. The record is from RNAcentral.